RNA transcript from Vespa velutina, 3532 nucleotides. It is a transcript of the gene named selenoprotein F, with no coding region annotated. Lineage: Eukaryota; Metazoa; Arthropoda; Insecta; Hymenoptera; Vespidae. The record is from RefSeq and is a predicted model, not a curated record. The transcript is spliced from 7 exons.
AUAAUACUUAUAUUAAAUAAACUGAUAAAUUUGAAACGUGGUUGAAUAACAUAUAACAAAAAUGACGUUAAUUAAUUUUUGUCUAUGAACAAAGAUAAUUCCUAAACGCAAGCGCAGAAAUAGAGUAUCGAUGGUAACAUAACCAAUAAAAUCAGACAAUCCUCAUAUAGAAACAAAUUGAAAUAUACUUAUGUGAUAUGAUUGUUACGUUGGUUUGUUAUUAGAUAUUAAGAACGUUAUAGAAAGAAUAUUUCAAAUAAUCCUAAAUCAUGUAUAUCUCAACAUUUUUACAUAUAUUUCUAUUUAGUUUAACGCUAGUUAUUAUUAACGCAGAAUUUUCUGCAGAUGAUUGUAAAAAAUUAGGUUUUAAUAAGGCUAACCUGUUAUGUUCAACUUGUGAUAAAUUCAAUAAAUAUAAUGUACCAGAAAUCUAUGACAAAUGCAAAGAAUGUUGUUUGAAGGAUGAUGAUUAUGAUGUAUCUGGCUUUAAACGAUAUCCAAAAGCAAUUCUUAAGGUUUGCACAUGUAAAUUUGGUGCAUAUCCUCAAAUACAAGCAUUUAUAAAAAGUGAUCGACCAAGUAAAUACAAAAAUUUGCAAAUAAGAUAUGUAAGAGGUUUAGAUCCAAUCAUUAAAUUGCUGGAUGCUGACAAUAAAGUAGAAGAUAUUCUUGAUAUACAUAAAUGGGAUACAGAUUCAAUUGACGAAUUUUUAGCAACACAUCUUUCUACUGAUUAGAAAAAGUGAGAAUAUACAUAAAAUAAGGAAUGAAUUAUUACAUAUGACAAAACAAUACUUGCAAUAUUUGUAUAUUUUAUAUCCAACAUUUUUUAUAUACAAACAUAUUGGAUAUAUUAAUGCGUUUUUCCUUUCUCUCUUUGAAACAAAUCGAAGAUAAAAGCAGUAAAUUGGUUGAAGUAUAUUUGGUUGAAGUACGUUUAUGUUAAGAGAUUGGAAUAAAAAAGAUGCAGUGCUGUUAUUUUUUAACUACAAAUUGGAUACGACGUGGUUUUGAUGAGCAUAAUAUAAUAUCUGCUAUUAUUUUAACGUCGUCCAGUUCAUUCACAGGUUCCAAAUAAAAGUAGUGCAAUAUGUAAGCUACCAUGAGAUUGAGUUCAACCAUUGCGAAUUUCUAACCAACAAAAAGAAAAAUAAUACAUUUAUAUUCAUCUAAUUUCGAUUUCUUGAUUCAACGCUUUAUCGAUGCAAUUUCUUGGUCCUACACUGAAUGGAAUGAAGGAAUAAAGAUUACAUUCUUUUGCAUUUUUCGAUUGAACCGGUUGGGAUUAAAUAAUUCUCUAGAAAUCAAUAUGAUUGCUUAUUCGAUUUUAAUGAUAAAACGAAAAAUUAUGUCAAAAUUAAAUAUAUCACAUACUCAGCUGCAGAUAUCGAGAUAUAUAACGAACUAUAAAAUGAACGCUUAGAUAUAAACGAAGUGAUUCUUUGAGACAUCUUUCCAAGUAAGAAAGUUUUCGAAGCAAUGGAAUAAUCAGUUUACAAUCAUUUUGUUGCAUAACCAUGUUCACUUCGUUCCUUAUACGUCCCUACAAAUCAAUAGAUAAUUUAUUAUUUACUAUAAAUGCAAAACGGAUCUCUUUUAAUCCAUGUUUAUUAAUUCUUUGGAACGAAAAUAUCACCUGAACAUCUUUGUGCUUUGCAAAAACAAGCAGAGCAAAGCACAACAUCAUUGCCCUAGUGUCGUGACCCUAUGGAGAUAUUUGUCCUAAAUUCGAUUACUCUUAUUAUUCUCGACGGUUUCUUUGGAAAUAAUCUGAUUCUCAUCCAUUUCUUCAACAUUUUCUAAAUAUUUCCCCUUAGUUUGUUCGUGAAAUAGUAUCCUUUCUGCUAUUAUCUAAAAUAAGAGUAAUAUUUUAAUAAAUCAAUAUAAUUUCGCAAUAUUCGGAUUAUCUGUGUUUGUUCAUUUAAAGGAAAAACUUUACUUUUUCGAAAAACCGUGAUGCGUUUUCAACAAUUCCUUUUGUUGCCUAUCACGUUGCAAUAAUGCAAAUAUAGUUUCGGAAUAGUAUCAAGGACUUGCUACUCUAAUAAACAAUAUAUAUUUUUGUAAAUUUACUUAAUUGGAAAUUGAAUUUAUUUCUAAUAAAAGAAUUAAUACUUACUUAUAGAUCGCAAUUCUGCCGAAAUCAUGAACGGCAUGGCGAUAUUUAGCUUCAAAUUCGCCCGUUCCUCUUAAAGAGAUUCCCAUAGCCGUUUCUACAAAUUAUUUUUUGUAAAUAAUUUUUUUAUUAUAAAGAUCAGUGAAUAAUGAAAUUUAAUUUAACUAACCGCAUAUCGCGUUUAAAGUAUGUACAGGUAAAAAUUCCUGUAAAUCUUUGAUAAUCGGUCCUCCUUUUCCUUCCUCUUUCAGUAAUGUUACGAGAUAUUGUGCCUCCUCGUUAAAAUUGACGACAAAAUGUUUAAGGAUAUUAAAAUGAAAGGUUGGUGUCAACAUUUUUCGUUGAUGUUGCCACUUUUUACCUGUUUAAUAGAACGUUUGAUUUAAAAUAUUACAAAAUAUAUUAAAUUUAUAUUUGUUAUAGUUAGUACCUGCACUAGUUAUUAAUCCGGUGGAAAGCUAAGGUUGUAAGAAUUUGUAAGGAAUAGUUUUUUCUAGAUUUGUGCUCUUCAAAAGUAUCUACGAUCGAAAUAUAUAUAUAUAUAUAUAUUCUGAUUUUCAUAAGAUGAUGUUCACAAAUAACGUUUAAAUUUCAAAAGAAGGAGAGAAAUAAAAAUUAACUCUAUUGUUGUCUUAUAAUUAUUUACCUCGACAUCUUCCGGAUGAAUUAUAGUUAUUAAUGAAUAGAAUAAUGACCACAAUCUGUUAAUUGGAGAAAAUUCCUUAUUAAUUUUCCAAAGUUUUUCUAGUACUUGUUCUGAAAUAUUUACCAAAUGUUUAUAUUGAAUGACAACUGCAUCAAGGAAUUGAAAGUAAACAGAUUAAAUCGUUUCGGUCAAAUUAUUUCCGAUGAAGUUUACUAUUGUCAAUUUGAAGAUGAUGUAAAUUUCCUAUUAUGGUCCAACAAUUCGACUAGAAAUAUUUCCUAUUCUGCCAAAUCUUGUAAAGUAAGGCGAUAAUAAUAGUAGUGUAAAGAACCCUGAUAUGAUAAGGAAGAACAUCUUAUCAAUCUGUGGAAUAGAAAAAAAAUUCUAAUAUAGAUUUCUUCAAUUAUAUUAUGCAUAUAAUGAUAUUAUUAUAGUAAUUAUUGAAUAUGCAAAUAAGUUUGAUGACACACAGAUACUGUAAUAUUCGCUUCGUGUGUUAUAUAAAGUAGGUAGAUUAUAUUUUCCGAUAAAAGUUAUAAACGUAUAUAGAAUUUUCAUAUUUGCUAUAGAUUUAAUUUACGAGUACAAAAAUGGAACGCAUCAAAGCGAUGGUGGAUUUAUGUAUAAGCGGUAAUAAGAUUGAUGUGACUCGUUUGGUUAAGAUACGAAGCUUUUUCAUGACAAAUAUAAAUUUAAUUUUACAUUUGAUGGCCGAUGUAUAAUUUUUAUUUCUAUAUUUGCGAUUCUAAAUAAAAUUUGUUAGUGUAUUU